GAUGAACGCUAGCGACGUGCCUAAGAAAUGCAAGUCGAGCGAUGAUGGUUACUUCGGUAACCUGAUUAGCGGCGAACGGUCGCGUAACACGUAAGCAAUCUGCCCUAAAGUUUGGGAUAGCCCGGCGAAAGUCGGAUUAAUACCGGAUGUGGAUAUUUUAACACCUGUUGAUUUAUCUAAAGUGGAAACACGCUUUAGGAUGAGCUUGCGGCCUAUCAGCUUGAUGGUGGGGUAAUGGCCUACCAUGGCGACGACGGGUAGCUGGUCUGAGAGGAUGAUCAGCCGGACUGGGACUGAGAUACGGCCCAGACUCCUACGGGGGGCAGCAAUUAGGAAUCUUGCGCAAUGGGCGAAAGCCUGACGCAGCGACGUCGCGUGACCGAUGAAGUCUUUCGGGAUGUAAAGGUCUUUUGUCGAGGAAGAGUAAAAGACGGUACUCGAUGAAUAAGCCCCGGCUAACUACGUG
This 466-nucleotide ribosomal RNA is filed under the name uncultured bacterium. RNAcentral describes it as "bacterial SSU rRNA". It matches the Rfam family "Bacterial small subunit ribosomal RNA", at positions 28 to 507 of the family's 1533-position model. The record is from RNAcentral.